Molecule: ribosomal RNA, 212 nt
Filed under: uncultured bacterium
Lineage: Bacteria
Description: partial 16S ribosomal RNA
Rfam family: Bacterial small subunit ribosomal RNA
Source: RNAcentral
CAGUUCGGACUGUGGUCUGCAACUCGACCACACGAAGCUGGAAUCGCUAGUAAUCGCGAAUCAGCAUGUCGCGGUGAAUACGUUCCCGGGUCUUGUACACACCGCCCGUCACACCAUGGGAGUCAGCAACGCCCGAAGUCAGUGACCUAACCGAGAGGAAGGAGCUGCCGAAGGCGGGGCAGGUAACUGGGGUGAAGUCGUAACAAGGUACC